This is a long non-coding RNA of Centropristis striata (black sea bass), 251 nucleotides long. RefSeq lists it as uncharacterized. Lineage: Eukaryota; Metazoa; Chordata; Actinopteri; Perciformes; Serranidae. The transcript has 3 exons. The record is from RefSeq and is a predicted model, not a curated record.
CAGAUAUUGAUGAAAAUGAAUGGAUUAUGUGAGAUGAUUUCCAGUCAAAGAGAAAUGCAGCACGAUUGUUCCAUGGGAGGACUGCAGAGGUGUCAGGACUUCCGUGUUCCUGCCUUUAGAGUGUUUCUGUUUCUCCAAACUGGGAACACACUGACCAUCAUCUACUGCUCGGAAUACAUUGACUGUGGUAUCAACCCCUUUGGAAAGUCCUUGACUUGACUCACUGCCCUUUACACUCUUUGUUCCUGGUA